This is a long non-coding RNA of Populus euphratica (Euphrates poplar), 671 nucleotides long. RefSeq lists it as uncharacterized. The record is from RefSeq and is a predicted model, not a curated record. NCBI's taxonomy places the organism in Eukaryota, Viridiplantae, Streptophyta, Magnoliopsida, Malpighiales, Salicaceae. The transcript is spliced from 2 exons.
AGACUUUAUCCCUACAUACAUACAUCAGAAUAGAUUCGGUGAAAGUUUAAAAAAUCUCCAUUACCAACUACCAAAGGUUAUCAAAAUACAUAUUUACACAAGUACUUAUGAUGCAGGCGGAAGCUAAAACACAGUAACAAACAAAGAAAGAACACAGAAAUUUUAGUGAGCGAAAGGGGCUGCCCAAGUUCGCAGAUGUGAACCCCAGCUAUAUCAAUUUAGCUUGGCAAUUAAAACUAAAUCUGCUUCAAAAGACCCAUAUUUCCUCAGUUCACCACCAACAGACAACCAGCAAUCGAAAGAUGCCAAUCAGCUUGUCGCUCAACUGGCAUUAGUUUCCUCCUCUCAAGAGUUCUUGAGUUAGAGCCUCGAAAAUUGCCAAAUUUUCUUAAUAUCAAACAAAACAAACCUUUGUCAAUUUUGAAGGAAGUCCAAGCACAAUCAACUUGUACAGGGUUGAUCAAAAGAUUUUGGCAAAUUAAUGUGAAGGACAAUGAGAACAUCACAGACUGUAAUCAUCCAUUUUUGUCAGAAGAACAUGACUGCAUAGAAAUCCAAGAGCUUUGACGACCUAUUUUUGAAUUACGAUACUCCCCCAACUACCAAGAAACUACUAAAUAAAGAAAACCCUCUUGCAUCUUGAAAAAUCAUCAAAACUAUUGGAAAACACA